Molecule: microRNA precursor, 142 nt
Filed under: Chlorocebus sabaeus (green monkey)
Lineage: Eukaryota; Metazoa; Chordata; Mammalia; Primates; Cercopithecidae
Description: miRNA (ENSCSAG00000023360.1)
Source: RNAcentral
CAGAACACCCAGUUAAAUCUGAAUUUCAGAUAAAUAACAAAUAAUUGUUAAUAUAAGUAUACCCCUGUUCAAUAUUUGGGACAUACUUAUACUAAAAAUACUUAUUGUUUAUCUAGAAUUCAAAUUUAGCUGAUGUCCUGUA